Molecule: long non-coding RNA, 123 nt
Organism: Amphimedon queenslandica
Lineage: Eukaryota; Metazoa; Porifera; Demospongiae; Haplosclerida; Niphatidae
Exons: 3
Source: RefSeq, a predicted model, not a curated record
UAAUAAUAAUUAAACUGUUAUCUUCAUCACACAAUAGACAUGGGAGGUAUGUGAUAAUGUUUGAUUGUUUAUAUCUUUGUGAUUAUAUUGACAAUAAUCAAACUCAAUUUUGUCACAUGAUAG